This 377-nucleotide ribosomal RNA is filed under the name uncultured bacterium. Its description in RNAcentral is "bacterial SSU rRNA". It matches the Rfam family "Bacterial small subunit ribosomal RNA", at positions 29 to 390 of the family's 1533-position model. The record is from RNAcentral.
AACGAACGUUAGCGGCGCGCCUAACACAUGCAAGUCGAGCGAGAAAGGGCUUCGGCCCCGGUAAAGCGGCGCACGGGUGAGUAACACGUGGAUAACCCUACCCCCUUGGUGGUGGAUAACCUUCCGAAAGGAGGGCUAAUACAGCGUAAGACCACGACUUCGAAAGAGGUUGAGGUAAAAGUGGGCCUCUGUACACAAGCUCACGCCAGGGGAUGGGUCCGCGGCCCAUCAGCUAGUUGGUAGGGUAACGGCCUACCAAGGCGAAGACGGGUAGCUGGUCUGAGAGGAUGAUCAGCCACACUGGAACUGAGACACGGUCCAGACUCCUACGGGAGGCAGCAGUGGGAAUCUUGCGCAAUGGACGAAAGUCUGACGCA